This 253-nucleotide ribosomal RNA is filed under the name uncultured bacterium. RNAcentral's name for it is "partial 16S ribosomal RNA". It matches the Rfam family "Bacterial small subunit ribosomal RNA", at positions 524 to 776 of the family's 1533-position model. The record is from RNAcentral.
GACAGAGGGUGCAAACGUUGUUCGGAAUUACUGGGCGUAAAGCGCGUGUAGGCGGCUUGGCAAGUCGGGUGUGAAAGCCCCGGGCUCAACCUGGGAAGUGCACUCGAAACUGCUUGGCUUGAGUACUGGAGAGGGAAGCGGAAUUUCGGGUGUAGCGGUGAAAUGCGUAGAUAUCCGAAGGAACAUCAGUGGCGAAAGCGGCUUCCUGGACCAGAACUGACGAUCAGGCACGAAAGCGUGGGGAGCAAACAGG